GACGAACGCUGGCGGCGUGCUUAACACAUGCAAGUCGAACGGAAAGGCCCUGCUUUUGUGGGGUGCUCGAGUGGCGAACGGGUGAGUAACACGUGAGUAACCUGCCCUUGACUUUGGGAUAACUUCAGGAAACUGGGGCUAAUACCGGAUAGGAGCUCCUGCUGCAUGGUGGGGGUUGGAAAGUUUCGGCGGUUGGGGAUGGACUCGCGGCUUAUCAGCUUGUUGGUGGGGUAGUGGCUUACCAAGGCUUUGACGGGUAGCCGGCCUGGGAGGGUGACCGGCCACAUUGGGACUGAGAUACGGCCCAGACGCCUACGGGAGGCAGCAGUGGGGAAUAUUGCACAAUGGGCGGAAGCCUGAUGCGGCAACGCCGCGUGCGGGAUGACGGCCUUCGGGUUGUGAACCGCUUUCGCCUGUGACGAAGCGUGAGUGACGGUAAUGGGUAAAGAAGCACCGGCUAACUACGUG
Molecule: ribosomal RNA, 468 nt
Filed under: uncultured bacterium
Lineage: Bacteria
Description: partial 16S ribosomal RNA
Rfam family: Bacterial small subunit ribosomal RNA
Source: RNAcentral